AGCGGCAGGCUUAACACAUGCAAGUCGAGGGGCAGCAUGAUGAAACUUUCGGGUUCAUUGAUGGCGACCGGCGCAAGGGUGCGUAACGCGUGAGCAACUUGCCCUUAUCAGGGGGAUAACCGGUGGAAACGCCGACUAAUACCCCAUAGCAUCAACUUUAGGCAUCUUUAGUGAUUAAAGAAUUUCGGAUAAGGAUAGGCUCGCGUGACAUUAGCUAGAUGGCGGGGUAACGGCCCACCAUGGCGACGAUGUCUAGGGGUUCUGAGAGGAAGGUCCCCCACACUGGAACUGAGACACGGUCCAGACUCCUACGGGAGGCAGCAGUGAGGAAUAUUGGUCAAUGGUCGGGAGACUGAACCAGCCAAGUAGCGUGAAGGAUGAAGGUUCUAUGGAUUGUAAACUUCUUUUAUACGGGAAUAACACCAUCUACGUGUAGAUGCCUGCAUGUACCGUAUGAAUAAGCAUCGGCUAACUCCGUG
This 479-nucleotide ribosomal RNA is filed under the name uncultured bacterium. RNAcentral describes it as "bacterial SSU rRNA". It matches the Rfam family "Bacterial small subunit ribosomal RNA", at positions 39 to 507 of the family's 1533-position model. The record is from RNAcentral.